AACACCCUGCUUGGUGCGUGAUGCAUUCUUUUGGACCCACAUUUUAUAUUAGGGAUGCAGGAUUUCUUGUUCUGUUUGCAGACCUCCCGCCUGCGCUUUGACGUAUGGUGGACGUUGGGAGCAGUAAUGAACCGGAGCGGCAACCCACCUGCCUUUUGUGCAGGUCAUAAUUGAAUGCACACGGCUAAAGCGGGAUUGAC
This 200-nucleotide non-coding RNA is filed under the name Oscillospiraceae bacterium. RNAcentral's name for it is "6S RNA". It matches the Rfam family "6S / SsrS RNA". From Rfam's summary of the family: E. coli 6S RNA was the first non coding RNA to be sequenced, but its function was unknown until recently. The record is from RNAcentral. Lineage: Bacteria; Bacillati; Bacillota; Clostridia; Eubacteriales; Oscillospiraceae.